CCUGAAAUAAAAUAUGGUUCUGCACAUUAACUGAUAUAAAAUACACAAUAUGAUUUUCCCAAUCUUUUUUUCUUUUGGAAUUGCAAUUCUCAUGGUCACAUGGUUCAUUUGAUUGUGUAAAUGAAGGGAAUAACAGAUAAAGAAGAAACGAUAUUGCAAGCCAGUUGUAUCAGGAGUCAGAACACAGCAUAGACAAAGAGCAAGUAUAGAGAAGGGCAUUAUUCAUGCAUGAAGUCUGAACACCUCUAUAGUACUGAACUAAAUACAUGUAAUCAUUCAGAUAUUUACUUAAAUAUAUCAACAAACAGGAUAGCUUCGUGAAAAGCCAAGAGGUACAACAGAUAAACUUGUAUACAAACAUAAAGAAGAGUAUUGAAAUGGUAAAAAACAAAUGAAGCAGCAAUGACCUAAAUACAUGUAAUCAUUCAUGUAUUUAAUGCAGCACAAACACUCAUGCACAAGCUAGCAAUUAGUCAGAAAUGAUCAGCCCAUCCAAAAACAAGCUUGAAACAUCCAAGCCAUAUGGCUGAUUUCAAAAAAUUUCUCAUGCA
This 551-nucleotide long non-coding RNA is filed under the name Manihot esculenta (cassava). RNAcentral describes it as "long non-coding RNA (MESC_LNC003433)". Lineage: Eukaryota; Viridiplantae; Streptophyta; Magnoliopsida; Malpighiales; Euphorbiaceae. The record is from RNAcentral.